GACGAACGCUGGCGGCGUGCUUAACACAUGCAAGUCGAGCGAUGAAGUUUCUUCGGAAAUGGAUUAGCGGCGAACGGGUGAGGAACACGUGAAGAAUCUGCCCUCCACUUUGGGAUAACACCGGGAAACCGGUGCUAAUACCGAAUAUUGAAACAUAAGUGGCAUCACUGAGUUUUGAAAGAAUUUCGGUGGAGGAUGACUUCGCGGCCUAUCAGCUAGUUGGUGAGGUAAUGGUUCACCAAGGCAACGACGGGUAGCCGGCCUGAGAGGGCGACGGGCCACAAUGGGACUGGGACAGGGCCCGGACUCCUACGGGAGGCAGCAGUGGGGAAUAUUGGGCAAUGGAGGAAACUCUGACCCAGCGACGCCGCGUGCGGGAUGAAGGCCUUCGGGUUGUAAACCGCUUUCAGUAGGGAAGAAGCGAAAGUGACGGUACCUACAAAAGAAGCACCGGCUAACUAUGUGCCAGCAGCCGCCGUAA
RNAcentral lists this ribosomal RNA (481 nucleotides) under uncultured bacterium. RNAcentral describes it as "partial 16S ribosomal RNA". It matches the Rfam family "Bacterial small subunit ribosomal RNA", at positions 28 to 523 of the family's 1533-position model. The record is from RNAcentral.